Molecule: ribosomal RNA, 351 nt
Filed under: Sesamia poephaga
Lineage: Eukaryota; Metazoa; Arthropoda; Insecta; Lepidoptera; Noctuidae
Description: partial 12S small subunit ribosomal RNA
Source: RNAcentral
AAAAUUUAAAAUAAAAAUACUAAAACAGUAAAUAAAUAUUUAUUAAAACUUAAAUAAUUUGGCGGUAUUUUAGUUCAUUUAGAGGAAUCUGUUUAAUAAUUGAUAUUCCACGAAUAAAUUUACUUAAUUUAUAAUUUUGUAUAUCGUUGUUAUAAAAAUAUUUUUUAAUAAAAUUAAUAUUUAAAAAUUAAUAUUAUAAAUUAAAUCAGAUCAAGAUGUAGAUUAUAAUUAAGAAUAUAAUGGAUUACAAUAAAUUUAUUUAAAUGGAUUUUAAUUUGUAAUAUUUAAUUGAAGGUGGAUUUAAAUGUAAUUUUAUUUAAUUUAAUAAAAUGAUUAAAAAUUAAAAUAUGU